ACGGAGGGUGCAAGCGUUGUUCGGAAUUACUGGGCGUAAAGCGCGCGUAGGCGGCUUUUUAAGUCAGAUGUGAAAGUCCUCGGCUCAACCGAGGAAGUGCAUUUGAAACUGGGGAGCUUGAGUACUGGAGGGGAUGGUGGAAUUCCCGGUGUAGAGGUGAAAUUCGUAGAUAUCGGGAGGAAUACCGGUGGCGAAGGCGACCAUCUGGCCAGAUACUGACGCUGAGGUGCGAAAGCGUGGGGAGCAAACAGG
RNAcentral lists this ribosomal RNA (252 nucleotides) under uncultured bacterium. RNAcentral describes it as "partial 16S ribosomal RNA". It matches the Rfam family "Bacterial small subunit ribosomal RNA", at positions 525 to 776 of the family's 1533-position model. The record is from RNAcentral.